UCUGCAGAGAUGCGGAAGUGCCUUCGGGAACUGUGAGACAGGUGCUGCAUGGCUGUCGUCAGCUCGUGUUGUGAAAUGUUGGGUUAAGUCCCGCAACGAGCGCAACCCUUAUCCUUUGUUGCCAGCGAUUAGGUCGGGAACUCAAAGGAGACUGCCAGUGAUAAACUGGAGGAAGGUGGGGAUGACGUCAAGUCAUCAUGGCCCUUACGACCAGGGCUACACACGUGCUACAAUGGCGCAUACAAAGAGAAGCGACCUCGCGAGAGCAAGCGGACCUCAUAAAGUGCGUCGUAGUCCGGAUUGGAGUCUGCAACUCGACUCCAUGAAGUCGGAAUCGCUAGUAAUCGUGGAUCAGAAUGCCACGGUGAAUACGUUCCCGGGCCUUGUACACACCGCCCGUCACACCAUGGGAGUGGGUUGCAAAAGAAGUAGGUAGCUUAACCUUCGGGAGGGCGCUUACCACUUUGUGAUUCAUGACUGGGGUGAAGUCGUAACAAGGUAACCGUAGGGGAACCUGCGGUUGGAUCACCUCCUUACCUGAAAGAA
RNAcentral lists this ribosomal RNA (546 nucleotides) under Salmonella enterica subsp. enterica serovar Takoradi. RNAcentral's name for it is "bacterial SSU rRNA". It matches the Rfam family "Bacterial small subunit ribosomal RNA", at positions 997 to 1533 of the family's 1533-position model. Lineage: Bacteria; Pseudomonadati; Pseudomonadota; Gammaproteobacteria; Enterobacterales; Enterobacteriaceae. The record is from RNAcentral.